GUGCUUCCUUCGGCAGUAUAUACACUAAAAUUGGAACAAUUCAGAGAAUAUUAGCAUGGCCCCUGUACAAGGAUGAGAUGCAAAUUCAUGAAGCAUUCCAUAUUAAA
RNAcentral lists this small nuclear RNA (107 nucleotides) under Castor canadensis (American beaver). Lineage: Eukaryota; Metazoa; Chordata; Mammalia; Rodentia; Castoridae. The record is from RNAcentral.